This 55-nucleotide transfer RNA is filed under the name Ancylostoma ceylanicum. RNAcentral's name for it is "tRNA-Pro". Lineage: Eukaryota; Metazoa; Nematoda; Chromadorea; Rhabditida; Ancylostomatidae. The record is from RNAcentral.
CAGUAAAUAGUUUAUAUAAAAUAUAAUAUUUGGGUUAUUAAGAAAUUAUUACUGA